Long non-coding RNA from Procambarus clarkii (red swamp crayfish), 1168 nucleotides. RefSeq lists it as uncharacterized. Lineage: Eukaryota; Metazoa; Arthropoda; Malacostraca; Decapoda; Cambaridae. The record is from RefSeq and is a predicted model, not a curated record.
CAGUCAAUACCUGCUCCUCACUCUCACACUCUGAUUUGGUCAACAGCAGGCCGGCCCGCCAGUGUUGUCACACCUCACCGUCAAGUCUCACCACACUCUCCACUCCGCACCUCCACGAAAGGACAAAUGAAGGGACCCCUGCUGCUGACGGCUCUCCUGGUGGGGAUAUGUCUGCCCCGUACCCAGGCCCAGACCCCACCCUCGCUGCCCACCCCACCCUCCCUGCAAGCACUACUUCCGGCGCCAGCCGCCUGCCCACCCGAAGUGGCCAAUCCGUGCCGCCUGCUGACCUUCUUCGUCCAACAGUUCGCUGUGCCCAGCGACUGUGCCCGGUACUGCCAGUGUACUGGUGAGGCCAGCGGCGUCAUCACCUCCUGCCUCCCUUACUUUCUCUUCAGUGAAGAAGAAAACGGCUGUAGGCCCAGUACUUAUGUGAAGUGCGGCUCCAGACCUGCAGGGUAGAUGGGUCUUACACCACACCCAGCCGGCCUCCACCACACCCAGCCGGCCUCCACCACACCCAGCCGGCCUCCACCACACCCAGCCGGCCUCCACCACACCCAGCCGGCCUCCACCACACCCAGCCGGCCUCCCAAAAACAAGUUAACCUCCAGGUUAACCAACAUUGCCCAUAAAAACGUCUCCCACAAUCAUCCAGUGAGCCUCACUUGUGUACACAAUCACCCAAUGAGCCUCACUUGUGUACACAAUCAUCCAGUGAGCCUCACUUGUGUACACAAUCACCCAGUGAGCCUCACUUGUGUACACAAUCACCCAGUGAGCCUCACUUGUGUACACAAUCACCCAAUGAGCCUCACUUGUGUACACAAUCACCCAAUGAGCCUCACUUGUGUACACAAUCAUCCAGUGAGCCUCACUUGUGUACACAAUCACCCAGUGAGCCUCACUUGUGUACACAAUCACCCAGUGAGCCUCACCUGUGUACACAAUCAUCCAGUGAGCCUCCCCUGUGUACACAAUCAUCCAGUGAACCUCACUUGUGUACACAAUCACCCAAUGAGCCUCACUUGUGUAUACAAUCACCCAAUGAGCCUCACGAGUACAAUCAUUGUUUAUGUGUAUGUUAAUCUCAUUGUGUGACAAUUGUUCCAUCACAAAUGUCUUGUUAAUGUUUCAUGUUAAUGUUUCAUGUUAAUGUUUGUUGUUG